AGAGUUUGAUCCUGGCUCAGAUUGAACGCUGGCGGCAGGCCUAACACAUGCAAGUCGAACGGUAGCACAGAGAGCUUGCUCUCGGGUGACGAGUGGCGGACGGGUGAGUAAUGUCUGGGAAACUGCCUGAUGGAGGGGGAUAACUACUGGAAACGGUAGCUAAUACCGCAUAACGUCGCAAGACCAAAGAGGGGGACCUUCGGGCCUCUUGCCAUCAGAUGUGCCCAGAUGGGAUUAGCUAGUAGGUGGGGUAAUGGCUCACCUAGGCGACGAUCCCUAGCUGAUCUGAGAGGAUGACCAGCCACACUGGAACUGAGACACGGUCCAGACUCCUACGGGAGGCAGCAGUGGGGAAUAUUGCACAAUGGGCGCAAGCCUGAUGCAGCCAUGCCGCGUGUAUGAAGAAGGCCUUCGGGUUGUAAAGUACUUUCAGCGGGGAGGAAGGUGUUGUGGUUAAUAACCACAGCAAUUGACGUUACCCGCAGAAGAAGCACCGGCUAACUCCGUGCCAGCAGCCGCGGUAAUACGGAGGGUGCAAGCGUUAAUCGGAGUUACUGGGCGUAAAGCGUGCGUAGGCGGCUUAUUAAGUCGGAUGUGAAAUCCCCGAGCUUAACUUGGGAAUUGCAUUCGAUACUGGUGAGCUAGAGUAUGGGAGAGGAUGGUAGAAUUCCAGGUGUAGCGGUGAAAUGCGUAGAGAUCUGGAGGAAUACCGAUGGCGAAGGCAGCCAUCUGGCCUAAUACUGACGCUGAGGUACGAAAGCAUGGGGAGC
This 770-nucleotide ribosomal RNA is filed under the name uncultured bacterium. RNAcentral describes it as "bacterial SSU rRNA". It matches the Rfam family "Bacterial small subunit ribosomal RNA", at positions 8 to 769 of the family's 1533-position model. The record is from RNAcentral.